GUGCCAGCAGCCGCGGUAAUACGGAGGGUGCAAGCGUUGUCCGGGAUUUAUUGGGUUUAAAGGGUGCGUAGGCGGCUGUUUAAGUCAGUGGUGAAAGACUCCGGCUCAACCGGAGCAGUGCCAUUGAUACUGGAUAGCUUGAGUAUUGGAGGGGUACAUGGAAUUGAUGGUGUAGCGGUGAAAUGCAUAGAUACCAUCAGGAACACCGAUAGCGAAGGCAUUGUACUGGCCAAUAACUGACGCUGAUGCACGAAAGCAUGGGUAGCGAACAGGAUUAGAUACCCUGGUAGUCCAUGCCGUAAACGAUGAUUACUCGCUGUUAUGCCCUUGUGGUGUAGCGGCCAAGCGAAAGCGUUAAGUAAUCCACCUGGGGAGUACGCUCGCAAGAGUGAAACUCAAAGGAAUUGACGG
RNAcentral lists this ribosomal RNA (411 nucleotides) under Algoriphagus sp. Its description in RNAcentral is "bacterial SSU rRNA". It matches the Rfam family "Bacterial small subunit ribosomal RNA", at positions 505 to 916 of the family's 1533-position model. The record is from RNAcentral. Lineage: Bacteria; Pseudomonadati; Bacteroidota; Cytophagia; Cytophagales; Cyclobacteriaceae.